GGGGGCAUUGACUGCCUAAGGUUAAGCCCACAAAAAUGACUGCCUGAGGUUAAGCCAACAAAAGGGGGCAUUGACUGCCUAAGGUUAAGCCCACAAAAGGGGGGGGGGGCUGCGCAUUAAAUCUGUCUCUGAUAUUAGUACAGGUGAACAUUAGGGGAAUGACACGCUUUUGGGUUGUGGGAUAUCGAGGUUAAAAAAAAGGGGAUUUUUCAUAUUGGGGUGAAAAAGUGGGGAUGUGGGAUUUAGUUGGAUUCUUCAAUCUUUGUCUUGAUGACAGGAUAAUUCUCUUCUCUUGUUAAACGAUAUUUUCAGUUGUAAUUUCUCCUUAAUUUGUACUUCAGGGGGUUAAAUCUAAUUGAUGAUAUCAUGUCAGUCAGCUUUGAACAGCUAUCUUUUAUUUUAUGUUUAGCUUACACAUUUAUGACAUUACUACAAACUUGAGCUACAUGUAAACAAAUAUUUAAGAGUAAUAUUUCUACUGUGUAAUAAAUAAUACCAUUAUAAAAAUGAAAGAUUUUUUCCAUCAAUUGAAUAAUUUGAUAUGUUUUUAGGGAUACAGCAAGUUCCCAAGUUCUUAGUUAAUGAACAGUGAAAAUUGUUGAGGAGCUCAUUGGGGAAAAAAAAGAAAGUAACAAAGGAAAUGUACUUUUUCAAUAAGGAGAAGAAGUAAAAGCAGCAGGGAAAAUUGACAGAGUGAUACAUCUUCUAUGAAUAAAAAGAGGAAAUAAGUGUCUGCAUCAGUAAAUCAUUAUAACAACAAGACUGUGAAAAGAAGAUAUCAGAACAUGAAUUAUGAGUUUUAUUUCUUUUAAAAAGAAUUGUUACGGAAUAUACCUCUUGUGAUUCUAAUGAAAACCAUUGUCAACUUGAAGUAAAGGAAGAUUUUAUAAUUUAAUAGAACAGGAAAUAAAGGAAGACUCAUUUAGAGCAUAACAAAGCACAAUGUAUAUUUCUAAUUAGUCUGUUAAUUCAGAAUAACCCAUGUGAAGGAAUUAUAUUUUACAGUAAACAACAUACAAUACA
Molecule: long non-coding RNA, 1023 nt
Organism: Mytilus californianus (California mussel)
Lineage: Eukaryota; Metazoa; Mollusca; Bivalvia; Mytilida; Mytilidae
Exons: 2
Source: RefSeq, a predicted model, not a curated record